AACGAACGCUGGCGGCAGGCCUAACACAUGCAAGUCGAGCGAGGACUUCGGUCCUAGCGGCGGACGGGUGAGUAACGCGUGGGAACGUGCCCUUUGCUUCGGAAUAGCCCUGGGAAACUGGGAGUAAUACCGGAUGAGCCCUUUGGGGGAAAGAUUUAUCGGCGAAGGAUCGGCCCGCGUUGGAUUAGGUAGUUGGUGGGGUAAUGGCCUACCAAGCCGACGAUCCAUAGCUGGUAUGAGAGGAUGAUCAGCCACACUGGGACUGAGACACGGCCCAGACUCCUACGGGAGGCAGCAGUGGGGAAUCUUAGACAAUGGGGGAAACCCUGAUCUAGCCAUGCCGCGUGAGCGAUGAAGGCCUUAGGGUUGUAAAGCUCUUUCAGCUGGGAAGAUAAUGACGGUACCAGCAGAAGAAGCCCCGGCUAACUCCGUG
RNAcentral lists this ribosomal RNA (433 nucleotides) under uncultured bacterium. RNAcentral describes it as "partial 16S ribosomal RNA". It matches the Rfam family "Bacterial small subunit ribosomal RNA", at positions 29 to 507 of the family's 1533-position model. The record is from RNAcentral.